GACGAACGCUGGCGGCGUGCUUAACACAUGCAAGUAGGACGCAGUUGCGAACGGGUGAGUAACGCGUAGGUAACUACCUAUUAGAGGGGGAUAACUAUUGGAAACGAUAGCUAAUACCGCAUACUAGUAGAUGGACCUGCGUUGUAUUAGCUAGUAGGUAGGGUAAUGGCCUACCUAGGCCACGAUACAUAGCCGACUCGCGAGGGUGAACGGCCAAAAUGGGACUGGGACACGGCCCAGGACCCUACGGGAGGCAGCAGUAGGGAAUCUUCGGCAAUUGGGGGAAACCUGACCGAGCAAAGCCGCGUGAGUGAAGAAGGUUUUCGGAUCGUAAAGCUCUGUUGUUAAGGAAGCGGUACUUAACCAGAAAGGGACGGCUAACUACGUGCCAGCAGCCGCGGUAAUUC
RNAcentral lists this ribosomal RNA (407 nucleotides) under uncultured bacterium. Its description in RNAcentral is "partial 16S ribosomal RNA". It matches the Rfam family "Bacterial small subunit ribosomal RNA", at positions 28 to 526 of the family's 1533-position model. The record is from RNAcentral.